UUUGUAAGAGGUAAGGAAGAACCGUCUUACUACAUUUUGAUUUUUUUUUUUAUAUAUCUGGAUAAUGCCUCAAUGACUGCUAACCGAUGAAAGUUAAAUACUUUCAUUUAGCUGGGCCCUAGACAUGAAUGUGGACUAGGUAGACCAUAACUUCGUUAUCAAUAAUAGUUAACUUAAUAGUAAUACUGACUCUGAGUGACUGACUACGGUUGGUGACAAAAGUCAUCAUAACUUAAGCGUGUAUGAGGGAAGUGGAUGAUUCUGUGUUGGCAAUGAUUAAUUAUCUAACCCAUAAACUACGAACUCAAUCCCUGAAUGAAAGCGAUCCAUUUCAGUGUAAGCCACAAGAAGACAAUGACAGAGACUCUGGUACAGAAUCUGACGAUGAAGGAGAUGUGGUUGAAGAACUUCAAAAAUACAUGGAAAAUAGGAUGCAUUACAAAGAAAGAAAAGACCAACAUCAAUUUGUGGAAACUCUUGUUGCAGAAACAGGCGAGUGCAAAGACACUAUUUGUGAGUUAAGGCGCGAAUUGUACCAAAUCUCAAAGACGGAGGUGGACAGACCAUUACCAGAGCCCAUCUUUGACUCUGCUUUUCCCCGUGACAGUGACCAUAAUUUGGAACCACAUAGCUCUGAGGAUGAGCUGGGAGUGAUAAACUGUACCAAUAACCUGGUCAGCAGGGGAAGAAGUAGUAGUACCUAUCCUGAGAAAAGAAAGUGGUCACAAGCAAACUGUCCUAGUUUUUUUGAAAACUCUGGCUCAUCUGAUGAUGAAAUACGGGACCUUUUAUGUUUUUCGGCUCCUGUGGAGUUUUGUGCUUCCCCACCUGCAAAUAUACACAAACCAAAUCAAUCUCUGUCUCCUCCCCUCAAAAUUUUGCACUUGACAACUGCCAACAUCCCGGCUCUUGAAUUAUGUUCAUCCUCUAACACCUCUUCAAGGAAGAAACAUCGACAAACUCUGACCAACAGCAAUGGCAGAAGUAACAUUCAUCGUCCAUGUCUGGAUUUUGAGAAGAUGCAACAGAUAAGAGUGCGGCUGUUGUGAGCCUAUUAUUGAUGCACGCAUGUACUUCGCAGUUGCCUUGUGCGGAAAGAGCCAAGCCUGCUGCCGGACAAUUCUUCGAGGUGAACUUUUGUUAGAAGAAAUGGCUGAUUUUACGAAUGAAAGGUACACGCUGACCGAGGAUUUGCAAAAUUCCAUUUUCAUAAAAAGUCCGGAGAGUUAAGUCUUGGUAUUUUAUUCUAUAUUGUGAAUUAUUUCAAUUUUGCCGUUUUUGUAUGUAUGAAAAAAGCAAUUGAUUUGGGCUUCGGAAAUUUUCAGUUUUUCAUUAAAAGUCAUAAGAGUUAAACUUUGAUAUUAUACCCAAAUGUUUGUCUUUAUUUUUUCUGGAUAAAUUCAACAACCGCUGUUGAAGUUUAAAAAAAAAUCUGUGUGUUAUUAAGUCUUAAAUUUAAGCUUCGUAGGUAUUGUUUUAGUUUUAAUCGCCUUCAAAUUUCCACUUUCUUCUGCAUAAGUGAAAUAUUAGGUUAGAAUUUGUUAACAAAUCUAGCUUUAAAUUAAAAGUUAAUCUUAAUUGCUUUGCGUAAAUUAUUUCAACUCUUUAUUUUGACUUUUUCUGUAGGAAAGAUACAAUUGUCUUCAGAAUAUCAAAAAUCCAUUUAUUUAUUUUUUCAUAAAAUUUUAAAGGGAUAAAUAGGAGUUUAUUAACCCAUCAAGAAUGUCCCUUCCAGCUUCCAACUUUAACCACCCUUUACUACUCAUGUAUUCAUCCAAUCGUUUCUUGAACUCAGUUAAA
This 1800-nucleotide unclassified non-coding RNA is filed under the name Limulus polyphemus (Atlantic horseshoe crab). RNAcentral describes it as "uncharacterized LOC106466313, transcript variant X10". Lineage: Eukaryota; Metazoa; Arthropoda; Merostomata; Xiphosura; Limulidae. The record is from RNAcentral.